AUGAGCGCCAGGGCCGGGCCGGAUCCCAACUCCGAGAAGUCGGUCGCGUGGCCGGACCUCCGGGGAAGCCUCGAGCGGGCCGGCGCCCUCGCCGCGGAGCUCGCGGCCGCGGCGGAGGAACGGGCACGCCUGGCGCGCCGCCUCGAGGCCGCGCUCGAGGUGAGGAGGGAGUCGGUGCGGCAGGGCGCGGCGCUGGACGAGCUGAGCCGGCGGCUGGAGCGGCGGCGGGCGCGCGCGGACGAGCUCGCCGUCGCCAGGCGGAGGGCCGCCGAGGGCGUGGAACGGCGCAAGGAGCAGAUGCAGGCGCAGAUCGAGCGGGUGCUGCCGCUCUCCAGGGCCCUCGCCGCCGCGCACCGCCAAGUGCAGGAAGCCAAAGAGUUGAAAUCCGCGGAGAAGGCGCGGCUUGGGGAUCUGCAGAGGCUGCUCAGGACGAGGCAGCAGUCCAUGGUAGCCCAGGUCGCCGCCCUGUACCCUGUCAGGGUCUUCCGAGACCUGCCGGCUGCAGAGAACCACCAUUCCCGUACCAAUGGAGAGUGCCGAACACCUUCGGAAGAGAAUGGGGCACUUCCGCAAGAAAUGAAUGGAAAUGGAAGACAUUUACUCAGCAUUAUCAAAUCUCCACAUGUUGGCCCCUUGACAUUUUUUGGUUGGCAAAUUGGAAAGCCCAAGACAAAGCAGCCAAGUUACAGUCACAAGGAGCUUCAGAGGUCAGCAGCUGUGCUUGGAUAUGCAGCACAUGCAGUCUUGCUUAUUGCUUCAUAUCUUGACAUUCCCCUCCGAUAUCCUUUGCGCUUUGGAGGAUCACGAUCUUAUGUCGGUGAUCGUUUGCCUUCAGCUGAAGCAUCAUCCAUGGGUUCAACGGAACAUCGAAGGGUCGGCAGCGCUGACUCAAAACUAACAGAUUAUCCCCUUUUCUUGGAAUAUCAAGAUGACUCGACAAAGGCAUCCUACGCCAUUCACUUGUUGCAAAAGGAUACGGAGCAGCUCUUGAACUACAUCGGAGCAGAGAGUUCUGGGAGGAAUGCAUUUGGUAAUCUGCGGGAGCUUAUUAGGAUUGUACAGUCAGAUGAGUAUCUGUACAUAUGA
RNAcentral lists this ribosomal RNA (1086 nucleotides) under Triticum aestivum (bread wheat). RNAcentral describes it as "partial small subunit ribosomal RNA". Lineage: Eukaryota; Viridiplantae; Streptophyta; Magnoliopsida; Poales; Poaceae. The record is from RNAcentral.